Molecule: ribosomal RNA, 403 nt
Filed under: uncultured bacterium
Lineage: Bacteria
Description: bacterial SSU rRNA
Rfam family: Bacterial small subunit ribosomal RNA
Source: RNAcentral
UGGGGAAUUUUACACAAUGGGGGAAACCCUGAUGUAGCAACGCCGCGUGGAGGAUGACGGAUCUAGGUCUGUAAACUCCUUUUAUAAGGGAAGAAAUUUGACGGUACCUUAUGAAUAAGCACCGGCUAACUCCGUGCCAGCAGCCGCGGUAAUACGGGGGGUGCAAGCGUUACUCGGAAUCACUGGGCGUAAAGGGAGCGUAGGCGUUUUAUUAAGUCUUGAGUGAAAGCUCGCAGCUCAACUGCGGAACUGCUCAGGAAACUGAUAGAAUUGAGUGUGGUAGAGGUAGGUGGAAUUUCCGGUGUUGGGGUAAAAGCCGUAGAUAUCGGAAGGAAUACCAGAAGCGAAGGCGACCUACUGGGACAUUACUGACGCUGAGGCUCGAAAGCGUGGGGAGCAAACA